Paramuricea clavata is the source of this 363-nucleotide non-coding RNA. The record is from the annotation of a GenBank genome assembly. Lineage: Eukaryota; Metazoa; Cnidaria; Anthozoa; Malacalcyonacea; Plexauridae.
CCAAGAUGGCGGCCAAUGUGAAAUGUCAGGAUUUUUGGAUUUAGAGUGAUUUAGCCCUUUUUGAAUAUUUGUAUACUAAUUUACUAGUUUGGGAAUGGGUCUCGUAGGAAAAGUCUUGGUAUUAGUUGGAUUGAUGAUAAUAAUUCACGCGGGAUAUUCGUCAGAGCAAUGUAAGUGUGAAAAAGUACAUAGAGACAGAGUGUCAGAUUUUGACAUUUUCUGGCACAUUUUCUACUGUUGACUAACUUUUGUUCUUGUAUCAAGCAGUAACAUGUAACGUUUAUUCAAUAUUUCAUUGCUGUUUGUAGAUAGAACAUAUUUGAAGCUUAUUGAAGAAGAAUUCACUUCCCUGCCAAAAGAUGU